Molecule: transfer RNA, 69 nt
Filed under: Rattus norvegicus (Norway rat)
Lineage: Eukaryota; Metazoa; Chordata; Mammalia; Rodentia; Muridae
Rfam family: tRNA
About the family: Transfer RNA (tRNA) molecules are approximately 80 nucleotides in length. Their secondary structure includes four short double-helical elements and three loops (D, anti-codon, and T loops). Further hydrogen bonds mediate the characteristic L-shaped molecular structure. tRNAs have two regions of fundamental functional importance: the anti-codon, which is responsible for specific mRNA codon recognition, and the 3' end, to which the tRNAs corresponding amino acid is attached (by aminoacyl-tRNA synthetases). tRNAs cope with the degeneracy of the genetic code in two manners: having more than one tRNA (with a specific anti-codon) for a particular amino acid; and 'wobble' base-pairing, i.e. permitting non-standard base-pairing at the 3rd anti-codon position.
Source: Rfam by way of RNAcentral
GGGGAUUUAGCUCAGUGGUAGAGCGCUUGCCUAGCAAGCACAAGGCCCUGGGUUGGGCCCCCAGCUCCG